GGUUAAGCGACUAAGCGUACACGGUGGAUGCCCUGGCAGUCAGAGGCGAUGAAGGACGUGCUAAUCUGCGAAAAGCGUCGGUAAGGUGAUAUGAACCGUUAUAACCGGCGAUGUCCGAAUGGGGAAACCCAGUGCAAUUCGUUGCACUAUCGUUAACUGAAUACAUAGGUUAACGAGGCGAACCGGGGGAACUGAAACAUCUAAGUACCCCGAGGAAAAGAAAUCAACCGAGAUUCCCCCAGUAGCGGCGAGCGAACGGGGAGCAGCCCAGAGUCUGAAUCAGCUUGUGUGUUAGUGGAACGGUCUGGAAAGUCCGACGGUACAGGGUGAUAGUCCCGUACACCAAAAUGCACAGGCUGUGAACUCGAAGAGUAGGGCGGGACACGUGGUAUCCUGUCUGAAUAUGGGGGGACCAUCCUCCAAGGCUAAAUACUCCUGACUGACCGAUAGUGAACCAGUACCGUGAGGGAAAGGCGAAAAGAACCCCGGCGAGGGGAGUGAAAAAGAACCUGAAACCGUGUACGUACAAGCAGUGGGAGCACCUUCGGGUGUGACUGCGUACCUUUUGUAUAAUGGGUCAGCGACUUAUAUUCUGUAGCAAGGUUAACCGUAUAGGGGAGCCGCAGGGAAACCGAGUCUUAACUGGGCGUUAAGUUGCAGGGUAUAGACCCGAAACCCGGUGAUCUAGCCAUGGGCAGGUUGAAGGUUGGGUAACACUAACUGGAGGACCGAACCGACUAAUGUUGAAAAAUUAGCGGAUGACUUGUGGCUGGGGGUGAAAGGCCAAUCAAACCGGGAGAUAGCUGGUUCUCCCCGAAAGCUAUUUAGGUAGCGCCUCGUGAAUUCAUCUUCGGGGGUAGAGCACUGUUUCGGCUAGGGGGUCAUCCCGACUUACCAACCCGAUGCAAACUACGAAUACCGAAGAAUGUUAUCACGGGAGACACACGGCGGGUGCUAACGUCCGUCGUGAAGAGGGAAACAACCCAGACCGCCAGCUAAGGUCCCAAAGUCAUGGUUAAGUGGGAAACGAUGUGGGAAGGCACAGACAGCCAGGAUGUUGGCUUAGAAGCAGCCAUCAUUUAAAGAAAGCGUAAUAGCUCACUGGUCGAGUCGGCCUGCGCGGAAGAUGUAACGGGGCUAAACCAUGCACCGAAGCUGCGGCAGCGACACUAUGUGUUGUUGGGUAGGGGAGCGUUCUGUAAGCCUGCGAAGGUGUGCUGUGAGGCAUGCUGGAGGUAUCAGAAGUGCGAAUGCUGACAUAAGUAACGAUAAAGCGGGUGAAAAGCCCGCUCGCCGGAAGACCAAGGGUUCCUGUCCAACGUUAAUCGGGGCAGGGUGAGUCGACCCCUAAGGCGAGGCCGAAAGGCGUAGUCGAUGGGAAACAGGUUAAUAUUCCUGUACUUGGUGUUACUGCGAAGGGGGGACGGAGAAGGCUAUGUUAGCCGGGCGACGGUUGUCCCGGUUUAAGCAUGUAGGCUGAUUAUCCAGGCAAAUCCGGAUAAUCAAGGCUGAGGUGUGAUGACGAGGCACUACGGUGCUGAAGUAACAAAUGCCCUGCUUCCAGGAAAAGCCUCUAAGCAUCAGGUAACAUCAAAUCGUACCCCAAACCGACACAGGUGGUCAGGUAGAGAAUACCAAGGCGCUUGAGAGAACUCGGGUGAAGGAACUAGGCAAAAUGGUGCCGUAACUUCGGGAGAAGGCACGCUGGUGUGUAGGUGAAGCCCCUGCGGGUGGAGCUGAGACCAGUCGAAGAUACCAGCUGGCUGCAACUGUUUAUUAAAAACACAGCACUGUGCAAACACGAAAGUGGACGUAUACGGUGUGACGCCUGCCCGGUGCCGGAAGGUUAAUUGAUGGGGUUAUCCGUAAGGAGAAGCUCUUGAUCGAAGCCCCGGUAAACGGCGGCCGUAACUAUAACGGUCCUAAGGUAGCGAAAUUCCUUGUCGGGUAAGUUCCGACCUGCACGAAUGGCGUAAUGAUGGCCAGGCUGUCUCCACCCGAGACUCAGUGAAAUUGAACUCGCUGUGAAGAUGCAGUGUACCCGCGGCAAGACGGAAAGACCCCGUGAACCUUUACUAUAGCUUGACACUGAACAUUGAGCCUUGAUGUGUAGGAUAGGUGGGAGGCUUUGAAGCGUGGACGCCAGUCUGCGUGGAGCCAACCUUGAAAUACCACCCUUUAAUGUUUGAUGUUCUAACGUUGGCCCCUUACCGGGGUUGCGGACAGUGUCUGGUGGGUAGUUUGACUGGGGCGGUCUCCUCCCAAAGCGUAACGGAGGAGCACGAAGGUUAGCUAAUCCUGGUCGGACAUCAGGAGGUUAGUGCAAUGGCAUAAGCUAGCUUGACUGCGAGCGUGACGGCGCGAGCAGGUGCGAAAGCAGGUCAUAGUGAUCCGGUGGUUCUGAAUGGAAGGGCCAUCGCUCAACGGAUAAAAGGUACUCCGGGGAUAACAGGCUGAUACCGCCCAAGAGUUCAUAUCGACGGCGGUGUUUGGCACCUCGAUGUCGGCUCAUCACAUCCUGGGGCUGAAGUAGGUCCCAAGGGUAUGGCUGUUCGCCAUUUAAAGUGGUACGCGAGCUGGGUUUAGAACGUCGUGAGACAGUUCGGUCCCUAUCUGCCGUGGGCGCUGGAGAAUUGAGGGGGCUGCUCCUAGUACGAGAGGACCGGAGUGGACGCAUCACUGGUGUUCGGGUUGUCAUGCCAAUGGCACUGCCCGGUAGCUAAAUGCGGAAGAGAUAAGUGCUGAAAGCAUCUAAGCACGAAACUUGCCCCGAGAUGAGUUCUCCCUGAGACUUUAAGUCUCCUGAAGGAACGUUGAAGACGACGACGUUGAUAGGCCGGGUGUGUAAGCGCAGCGAUGCGUUGAGCUAACCGGUACUAAUGAACCGUGAGGCUUAACCUU
Molecule: ribosomal RNA, 2901 nt
Filed under: Klebsiella pneumoniae
Lineage: Bacteria; Pseudomonadati; Pseudomonadota; Gammaproteobacteria; Enterobacterales; Enterobacteriaceae
Description: 23S ribosomal RNA
Rfam family: Bacterial large subunit ribosomal RNA
Source: RNAcentral